UAACCAUGGUUUGGACAACUUCUCUAUAGUUCCUUGAAUUGCUCCUAGGCUUCAAAUAAGGAUUCUUGCUCAUAUUGGGUAAAAUUCCCAAUUUCUCUUAUUAGCUG
Molecule: non-coding RNA, 107 nt
Organism: Glycine soja
Lineage: Eukaryota; Viridiplantae; Streptophyta; Magnoliopsida; Fabales; Fabaceae
Source: Rfam